CUGCCUAGCAAGGACAAAAUAGACUGGACAAGUUCAGGAGCUAGCCCUUCGGACCAUUCCAUCCUCCAAGAAGUGUCUCGUGUGGGGGCGGGGUAAAGCAUUAACUGUGUGCCCCAAUCAGGCUGGGGCCUAGGUCACCCAAGCGGGAGGGGCAGGAGUCACCAGGCAGAGAGGCAAGAGCUUACUUACCACUUCUUGAUCAAUAAAUACCCUGGCUUUCUGCAGAGCCAAGGGAACCAUGCCAAGCCUCGGUCACCCUGAAAGCAGGCUCUCAUGAUGUGAUCGGAGGAUAGCAAAAUCUGCCUAGACCUUUGAUACCUGGCCAGAUGAUGCCUCCAUUGACAGUGGCUGCUUAUAGAGCUCAGGAAGGAAACGAGGAGGGGUGGGUGAGAUAGAUAGAUAGAUAGAUAGAUAGAUAGAUAGAUAGAUAGAUAGAUAGAUAGGUGAUAGGGCAAUCGAUCAGUCAGUACAGGCUCUGUAGCGGCACAUAAUUCCCACUUGCAACGGAAACCCCUGGAUUGCAGACUGCUGACUUUUAGCAUCGUCUUGAAGUGGGGAGAGAGAUAGCAAUCUCUGGUGCCCUUGUGAGGGCAGUAAUGCCAUGAUGGGACCUUUAUCUUCAUAACCUUAUCUAAGCCCAGUCAUGUCUCAGCGACCUCUAUCCAGAUGCUCUUUGUGUUAGGCAUUGGGACUGAUUUGCAAGGAGAGAUGGAGUUCAAUUCCUAGCACACAGCCUGUUAUAAAGGAGGCAGUGGGCUGACAACAUUGGUGCCUAUGGAAAAGGUGGCCCUCGGACAGUUGGUCCCCCUGGGGUGGUCCAAGAUGAGUGUGUAGUGGUCAGUGGACUGAAGGAACUGGCCAAAUUGGGGUGAUAUGAGUCAGGGUGGAAAGGGGGGGGUCCACUGAGCUCUGGGAUGACAUCUUGGGCCUCUGAGAGCAGGCAAGAGGAAGGAAGGGCUAACCCCUAGUUGAGGCACGGCUGGACCAUUCGGCUGUAGGGGACAGCGAGAGGCUGGCUGCCAUCCAUACCCUUCCUGUCUCCUACCAUCGACUUCUAGCCUCGAAACAUUGUGUCUCUUUGUUAGACUUGGGGACCCUGUUCAUUGUGUGCCCUUGGGUCUCAGGCGUGAUGGGAGCCUAUCAUUCCAUCUGAAGCUCAAGGCAGAGUCAGGUCCUCACAACUGUCAGAAUUGAAAUGGAGCCCGGUGUCCUCAUUCUGCUACCUGCCGCCUCACGUGCCACCGUCCUCCUCAGCCCUCCGUUUCCUCUGUCCUCGUUCCCUAUGUGGCUGAGCUAUGGAAUAAAUGAGACCAAGAUGUUCACUUAGGGUCCCUUGGCUUCUUCUGGAGUAGGGAGCGAAUGCCAGUGCAGGAGGGAGUGUCUGAAGAGCGCCUCUGUUGCCAUCUGUCAGCCACAGCUGUGCAGGCAGCCUGAUUUGGAGACAGCCUGCUCUGAAGGACAGGAGGCUCUAGAAGGGACUGUGGCAGGUCGAUAGAGGGCCUCCAUCGUUGUAGCUGUCAUCAUGGUGAGCUUGAGGUGAGCUGAACCCAUGUGGGUUCCUGUCAGGGCAGCAUCCAUAUCUGCGAUGUUUUCCUCAGUACCCCUUUCUGUGAUUCUGAGACUGCAGGGUGUGGCAAGCCAGCAUUCUGCUCCCACACACCUUUUACCUAAUUCCACCUCCUUCUGGAUGGGUAAUAUCCAGGGCUUCCCAUCUCCACACCGGCCGGGCCCUCAGAUGCUACUGGUUGUGGGUGCCAGGAGAGCAUGUUUUAGAUGGGAGACCACAAUGUUCCACGGCUACUGUCCUUCUCUACAGAGCAGGCACCAACAGACCAAUGGCCUCCGUUGAUUCACCGCUCAUAUUUUGAUUGUUUUGAGACAGGUUCUCCCUGUGUCACCCAGAUUGUCCCAGAACUUGCCAGCCCUCCUGUUGCUACCUCUCAGGUACUAAGAUUGAACAGUACUGCUCUAGUCAGCCUUCUUCGAUAUACAUAAAACUAUAAAAAUGGGAAAACUGAUGUGUUCUAUCAGAUAUUUUCCCUAAUGCACAAAUAAUUCAUAACUCUUC
Molecule: long non-coding RNA, 2068 nt
Filed under: Mus musculus (house mouse)
Lineage: Eukaryota; Metazoa; Chordata; Mammalia; Rodentia; Muridae
Description: long non-coding RNA chr7:73404349-73406417
Source: RNAcentral